RNAcentral lists this long non-coding RNA (2161 nucleotides) under Equus caballus (horse). Its description in RNAcentral is "lncRNA (ENSECAG00000057981.1)". Lineage: Eukaryota; Metazoa; Chordata; Mammalia; Perissodactyla; Equidae. The record is from RNAcentral.
CCGCGGGCCGGGGUGGGCCUGGAUUCCGCACGGGGGCGAAAUUGUGGCCUUGUUCCCGGUGGCCUUCGGCUUCGCUCUUUGGGCUGCCUCGGAACCAAGCGCGACCUGCCCUUUUCCGCGCUCUUAUUCCAAAUCGACAGGCCCAAACGGCCACCGCCUGAGCCCAGUAGAGCCCAGAUUGAGGGGUGGUUGAAGUGUCUGAGGGGAAAGGGCUGCCUGCGGGACCCCAGGCCCUGCUACCCUAAAUGCCAGGUUCAGCGUCGGGCGAAGGCUCCUUCUCCGCACUGUAUCCGAGAGAACCCCCAAGGCGCGGCAGUGCUGGCCGUCUGGGACUAGCCUCUCGCAACAGUCACGCCCGGGUCUGAGCCCGCGGAUAUCGGAUAGAGCCCACCAAAGCGUGCUCGGCGCCUGGAGCUGCAGGACUCGUGGCCCCCACCCCGGGUUCCCGAAAGCCCCCCUAUUUGUACGCACUUUCCACGCCGACCUGAAUCGACGGGAUUUCUCUGGCUGGUGUUUGAGCUGCCUGUAUCCGAAUAAAUCCAGCUCUCAAGCGUCCGGCAGGAAACGGCUCCGGGUUUGCGCGUACGCAGACGCAUCGGCCAGCGCGGGACGCGUUGUGGCUCCUCCUGUUCGUGCCGCGGCAGGUCCGGCCUCUGAGGGAGGCUAGCCCAGCAGCGCCUUUAGGCCGAACGGCCGCUCGCGGCCCGGCAGUGCCUGGCAGCUCCCAUCUCCGGCGGUAGUCGGCAACCGCUGGGCCAAGUCCGCCCGCGGCGAAAACUGAAAGCAAAUUCCGCGGCAGAUGAAGCCCGAACUUUCUUGGACGCAAGUUUGCAGUAGAGAUUCGGUGGCGGCUUUGGGAGGACAGCGCGCUAGUGUGUGCGCGCGCAAGGUGGGGCGGUGGGCGAAGAGAGCACCCGGCGGCCGAGCCUGGCCCGAGGCGAAACACUAGGGAAGGCGCCUUCCCUUCUUUAUUUCUCGCCAACUCCUCGGCUCCUGUCCGUAAAAAUAGUUUCCAAGGUGCCUCGGACGCCCAGAAUGUGUUUAUGGGGAUCGCACCAGAGAAAGGAAGGCUUUGUAAAAGUUGUAGAAAGAGCUUUGCGCAGCGUUCGCCCAGCGGGGUUCAAGAAAGCUUGGGACUAGCUCGCCUUCCCUGGGGAGGAAUAGCCAGAAAUUGGCCUGGGGAGCCCCCUGCCUAGUCCUGUCCCCUCACCUCCAACCCACGAGUAUAUAAGCUCUCGCUGCCUGCGCUGCAAACUUCUCGGCGCGGCGCCGCGGUCAGCGGGCGAGGACAGGACGCAGAGCGGGCCGGCAAGGCCGCUCCUCGGAGCUCUCAGCCCCAGCCCUGAGUGAGGCUUGCGCGGAGGUGAGAGGACGAGUGUGGUUCCCGCUCCCACUUGGCUGCCGAAACCGUCAUCGCCGACCUCCCAACUCCCGGAGCCGGCGCUUCCCCUGGGAGCGGCGGUCUUGGGGGGCUGGCGAGGGCGCAAAUUGCGCGUGCGAAGCGAAGCGCACGAGGGCGGGGGCGGCCGCGGGUCUCUCCGCGGGGCCUGUCGCCGAGCCGGCCGCGGCGGGUGAGUGAUGAGGGCAGAGAAGGGCGCCCAUAAAUCGUGAGUGUCAGGGCGAAAAACUCUCUUUAUUGUCUGUGUGAUGGAUGGGCCCGGGGACGAGACACCAAAUACUUCGUAUCGCCUUUAAAUGGGAACACAUUUUCCGCGGCCAUAAUUCAUGUUUUUUAAAUAGAAAGUUUGAAAUGUUGCCUAUAUUUCACCGGCCCUGACAUAUUUAUGAAUCGCUCCCUGCAUGCAAAUAUCAUUAUUUAAAGCGCCGGGGAGAGCUGGGGGAGGGGAGGAGGCGCAGCCCCCGGGGCGUGGGGGUGGUGAACCGGGGAAAUGCGGAUGGAAGGGGGGCCAUCUCCCUAAAGUGCGGACGACGAGGCGCGGGGAAGCCGUAUCCGGAAACUGAGCUCACUGGGGGCUCCCCUCCUGCCGCCGGACCCCCGCACCGCAGCUCCGGGAAGUUUGCGCGGCUUGGGGCCGAGGACAGUCCCCCGCCCCCUGCUAGGAGACCAAGGGGCAUUUUGCGUCCUUCUCCGAGGCUCUGAUCCGAGCCUAAACCGCCUUUUCCAAGAAGGAAGUAAAAAAAAAAGAAUUUAACAAACGCA